RNAcentral lists this unclassified non-coding RNA (794 nucleotides) under Hevea brasiliensis (rubber tree). Lineage: Eukaryota; Viridiplantae; Streptophyta; Magnoliopsida; Malpighiales; Euphorbiaceae. The record is from RNAcentral.
CGGGAUUUGUUCAUCCUCUGGUUAGUUAUUUCUAUCAUUUUGAUCUUUUUCAGUUCUUCUAAAUCAAGUUAACUGGGUUCAAUGAAAUGCUGGAGUUGUGCACUAGGUUUACUGGUUAAUGAAUCUAUGGAUUUUGUUUCUUGUUGGUUGUUCUUUAGCUUUGCUUUAGAAUUUCAAGGAUUGGACUUGGUAGUUUGUGUAGUUUAUUGAUUCUCAUCGGUUUUUUGGGGUUUAUGACAUUGAACUUGUGAUUAAGUGAAGAAUUACGGGUUUGACGAAUGGCCUAGGGAGUUUUUGAUUUGAGAAUGAUCUAGGAAAGAGGUAUUCUAAUUUUAGCUGUUCAGAAUAUUUAACAAUCAAGGUGAGAAGGAUGCAGGGAAAUACCAAUAGUGGAGCUUUACAAUUCAAAAUGUACUGCAGUAACUUCAAGUGAUGCCAUCACAUGUUCUUUCCAUUGUUGGUUCUUACUUCUUUUACAACUGCAUUUUUGGUUGGUAACUUACUUUUUUAGAUUUAUUUUUCGUAUGAACACAGCAAAUAAUUUCUCAUUCAUAUUCCCCUCUAGGCGUUUGAGCUGUUAAAUAAAAAGCUUCUUCAUGGGCCUCCUUCUAUAUAUAUAUAUAUAGCACAAUUGCUAUUUUGCUAAGUUUUGUGGCUACCAGCUGUUAAACAUGGAAACAGCUAUAGACGGAAUUUCCCAUUUUGUAAACUUUUCUGACACGGAAACAAUGGGACACGGCAAAGAAACAUUUCGAGGUUGUGUCCGUAAAUUUCGAAAGGUGGAAACCUGUUUC